GAUGAACGCUAGCGGGAGGCCUAACACAUGCAAGCCGAGCGGUAGAGUUUCUUCGGAAACUUGAGAGCGGCGCACGGGUGCGUAACACGUGUGCAACCUACCUUUAUCUGGGGGAUAGCCUUUCGAAAGGAGGAUUAAUACCCCAUAAUAUAAUGAUUGGCAUCAAUUAUUAUUGAAAACUCCGGUGGAUAGAGAUGGGCACGCGCAAGAUUAGAUAGUUGGUGAGGUAACGGCUCACCAAGUCAAUGAUCUUUAGGGGUCCUGAGAGGGAGAUCCCCCACACUGGUACUGAGACACGGACCAGACUCCUACGGGAGGCAGCAGUGAGGAAUAGUGGACAAUGGGUGAGAGCCUGAUCCAGCCAUCCCGCGUGAAGGAUGACGGUCCUAUGGAUUGUAAACUUCUUUUGUACAGGGAUAAACCUACCCUCGUGAGGGUAGCUGAAGGUACUGUACGAAUAAGCACCGGCUAACUCCGUG
This 479-nucleotide ribosomal RNA is filed under the name uncultured bacterium. RNAcentral describes it as "partial 16S ribosomal RNA". It matches the Rfam family "Bacterial small subunit ribosomal RNA", at positions 28 to 507 of the family's 1533-position model. The record is from RNAcentral.